GGACCCGCACAAGCGGUGGAGCAUGUGGUUUAAUUCGAAGCUACGCGCAGAACCUUACCAACACUUGACAUGUCUGUCGCGGAAUUCAGAGAUGAAUUCCUUCGGUUCGGCCGGACAGAACACAGGUGCUGCAUGGCUGUCGUCAGCUCGUGUCGUGAGAUGUUGGGUUAAGUCCCGCAACGAGCGCAACCCCCUACUUCUAGUUGCCAUCAGGUUAAGCUGGGCACUCUAUGGAAACUGCCCGUGAUAAGCGGGAGGAAGGUGUGGAUGACGUCAAGUCCUCAUGGCCCUUACGUGUUGGGCUACACACGUGCUACAAUGGCAUUUACAAUAGGAAGCAAGAUGGCGACAUCAAGCAAAUCCUAAAAAAAUGCCUCAGUUCGGAUUGUACUCUGCAACUCGAGUACAUGAAGCUGGAAUUACUAGUAAUCG
RNAcentral lists this ribosomal RNA (432 nucleotides) under uncultured bacterium. Its description in RNAcentral is "bacterial SSU rRNA". It matches the Rfam family "Bacterial small subunit ribosomal RNA", at positions 917 to 1344 of the family's 1533-position model. The record is from RNAcentral.